RNAcentral lists this ribosomal RNA (252 nucleotides) under uncultured bacterium. Its description in RNAcentral is "partial 16S ribosomal RNA". It matches the Rfam family "Bacterial small subunit ribosomal RNA", at positions 524 to 776 of the family's 1533-position model. The record is from RNAcentral.
UACGUAGGGAGCGAGCGUUGUCCGGAAUUACUGGGUGUAAAGGGAGCGUAGGCGGGACUGCAAGUUGGGUGUCAAGUCUACCGGCUCAACCGGUAGCCGCACUCAAAACUGCAGUUCUUGAGUGAAGUAGAGGCAGGCGGAAUUCCUAGUGUAGCGGUGAAAUGCGUAGAUAUAUGGAGGAACACCGGUGGCGAAAGCGGCUCUCUGGCCUGUAACUGACACUGAGGCUCGAAAGCGUGGGGAGCAAACAGG